This 85-nucleotide transfer RNA is filed under the name Actinomycetota bacterium. RNAcentral describes it as "tRNA-Leu". It matches the Rfam family "tRNA". Rfam says of the family: Transfer RNA (tRNA) molecules are approximately 80 nucleotides in length. Their secondary structure includes four short double-helical elements and three loops (D, anti-codon, and T loops). The record is from RNAcentral. Lineage: Bacteria; Bacillati; Actinomycetota.
GCCCGGAUAGGCAAACUGGUAAAGCCCGCGGACUUAAAAUCCGCCGCCCGCAAGGGCAUUGCGGGUUCGAGCCCCGCUCCGGGCA